RNAcentral lists this ribosomal RNA (253 nucleotides) under uncultured bacterium. RNAcentral's name for it is "partial 16S ribosomal RNA". It matches the Rfam family "Bacterial small subunit ribosomal RNA", at positions 524 to 776 of the family's 1533-position model. The record is from RNAcentral.
UACGUAGGGUGCAAGCGUUGUCCGGAAUUAUUGGGCGUAAAGAGCUCGUAGGCGGUUUGUCGCGUCGAAUGUGAAAACCCGGGGCUCAACCCCGGGCCUGCAUUCGAUACGGGCAGACUAGAGUUCGGUAGGGGAGUCUGGAAUUCCUGGUGUAGCGGUGAAAUGCGGAGAUAUCAGGAGGAACACCGGUGGCGAAGGCGGGUCUCUGGGCCGAUACUGACGCUGAGGAGCGAAAGCGUGGGGAGCGAACAGG